AGAGUUUGAUCAUGGCUCAGAGCGAACGCUGGCGGCAGGCUUAACACAUGCAAGUCGAACGGAUCCUUCGGGAUUAGUGGCGGACGGGUGAGUAACACGUGGGAACGUGCCUUUAGGUUCGGAACAACACAGGGAAACUUGUGCUAAUACCGGAUAAGCCCUUCGGGGGAAAGAUUUAUCGCCUUUAGAGCGGCCCGCGUCUGAUUAGCUAGUUGGUAAGGUAAAAGCUUACCAAGGCGACGAUCAGUAGCUGGUCUGAGAGGAUGGCCAGCCACAUUGGGACUGAGACACGGCCCAAACUCCUACGGGAGGCAGCAGCGGGGAAUCUUGCGCAAUGGGCGAAAGCCUGACGCAGCCAUGCCGCGUGGAUGAUGAAGGUCUUAGGAUUGUAAAAUCCUUUCAGCGGGGACGAUAAUGACGGUACCCGCAGAAGAAGCCCCGGCUAACUUCGUGCCAGCAGCCGCGGUAAUAC
RNAcentral lists this ribosomal RNA (472 nucleotides) under uncultured bacterium. RNAcentral's name for it is "bacterial SSU rRNA". It matches the Rfam family "Bacterial small subunit ribosomal RNA", at positions 8 to 526 of the family's 1533-position model. The record is from RNAcentral.